RNAcentral lists this ribosomal RNA (463 nucleotides) under Phrynobatrachus dendrobates (Medje River frog). Its description in RNAcentral is "partial 12S ribosomal RNA". It matches the Rfam family "Bacterial small subunit ribosomal RNA", at positions 11 to 827 of the family's 1533-position model. The record is from RNAcentral. Lineage: Eukaryota; Metazoa; Chordata; Amphibia; Anura; Phrynobatrachidae.
GUUUGGUCCUAGCCUUAUUAUCAGCUCUUUUUUAACCUACACAUGCAAGUCUCCGCACCCCAGUGAAAACGCCCUUAAGCCUUACCUAGGCAAAGGAGCUGGCAUCAGGCACAGACCCUUGCCCACAACGCCUAGUUUCACCACACCCCCAAGGGUAGUCAGCAGUGAUAAACAUUGUUCAUAAGCGACAGCUUGAUCCAGUUAAAAACAACAGGGCCGGCUAACACGGUGCCAGCCGCCGCGGCUACACCGCUGGGCUCAAGUUGAUAACUUUCGGCGUUAAGCGUGAUUAAAGUAUUUUUGUAAUAGAGUUAAAUAUUAACUCGGCUGUUAUAAGCCUGUUAUUUAGAAAACCACAAACGAAGGUUACUCUAUUUUACUCGAACCCACGACAGUUAGGGAACAAACUGAGAUUAGAUACCCCACUAUGCCUAACCGUAAAAAAUUAACUCACACCACCAAC